CAGACUUGUUUGAUUGAGAUGCGUCACUUGUUUGUCUGGUCUGGUGUAGGUGCAACCACGCGGUAAGCAUUAAGGUUACCUAGGUCAAGUUUAGUUUGAUUUGGUAGUUUCAUAAAAUAGCCUUUGUUUGAUUUAAACGAAACUUAAUCUUGCCGACAGCGAUGCCACAGUUUUUCUUACAGGCGUAAUUGAUUAUUAACAUCUUCCUAAUCGGAAAUGUGGGAUUUUUUGACCACGUGGCGUGAAUUUGUUGAUUGAUUGUAAAUUCACCGUCAUGUUAGGUUGUAAUACAAUUUAACAGUCAUGAAAAUUGUUAUUUUAUUUCACGCAAUCUCGAAAUUAUACAUUUUAUUUUUCUUGUAUGCCACCGAAGAAAUAAGCAACUUUAUUCAAAUGAAAUACUGUUCCAACUGCUGGUUCGUUUUUAUGACUGCAUCCUAUUGUGAAGGAGUUAAGUGUACCAGAAUAGACCUCUGCCGCAAGUAAUCCAGCGCUCAUAAACCAUCAAGGGACCACUGUCUACACUACACAGGGCUGUAUGCGCCCGUAAACCUCUCAACCAGUAACCAAAUACAAAAUAUAAAUACGGCCCUGUAUAAUGGUGACUGUCCCAUCACCGCCAGUAGUAAAAAUAAAUAUGUAGUAAUUGGCAGUAUUCACAAUUUAAUCUUAAGCAUUGAUUCUCUUUGAAAAUUAGAAUAGCAGUGAAAUAAAUGUCAUCGUGAAUUUGAA
Molecule: long non-coding RNA, 732 nt
Organism: Zophobas morio
Lineage: Eukaryota; Metazoa; Arthropoda; Insecta; Coleoptera; Tenebrionidae
Exons: 2
Source: RefSeq, a predicted model, not a curated record